GUUGCCUGUUGGCAUGCUUCCCUUGUUUCAGAUGGGAAUCGACUCAAUCAGUAAGCCAUUUGUCUCGAUCUUUUGUCUCUAUGAUUUGUCCUCACGAAUUUACAUUAUUCUCCCAAUAGGUAAGACUAGAAAUAUUACUCCUUGCAUACUAUAGAACUAUCCUGACAUUUUUGAGUGUUCAAUAUUAUUUGUUUAAGGAGCAUAUUGCGAGAAAUCGUAUUCAUGAGGAAGGUGUGUUCAUUGAGUUUGUAGUUUUUAGAAAGCAUAUGUCUGGGAUGAAGGAAGAAAUUAGGAAGAGACUAACUAAUUCUAAGGAUGGUUGAAGGGCUUAAGCUGAGAUUUUCUACAUGAGUCCAGAGGAAUUCUAAAAGACCAAGAACAAGCUCUUCUCCAUUUGGAGAGCAUUCAACUUCAAGGAAAGGAUUUACUUAUUCUGCUGUAAAUAGUAAGAUGAGGUUUACCAUGUUUGAGUGUUCUAUUGUGAUGAUAAAAUUUCUAAACAUAUAUCGAACCAACAAGGCUGUGGUGGUGGGAAUAAUCGUUCUAAGAACGUUGGACAUCAAUCACGACAAGAUUUUGCGGAACCAUAUAUGGGGUUUUGCUUGCAAAUAGUUGAAAAACGAUCACGCACUAGCUUUUGGGGUACAGACUACAGUGUAAAUAAAUAAGCUAGUAUCAUGACUUCGGUAACAUAUGCAGCAUAGUAGAUGUGUAUCCUUAGGAGGGUGAAAAAUUAUUUUGAAUUCGUGUAAGUUGGAAAAGAUUCAAUAGCCUUAUAUGGCAAAAAGUUCUAUGACCAA
Long non-coding RNA from Pyrus x bretschneideri (Chinese white pear), 800 nucleotides. RefSeq lists it as uncharacterized. Lineage: Eukaryota; Viridiplantae; Streptophyta; Magnoliopsida; Rosales; Rosaceae. The transcript is spliced from 2 exons. The record is from RefSeq and is a predicted model, not a curated record.